Molecule: ribosomal RNA, 445 nt
Filed under: uncultured bacterium
Lineage: Bacteria
Description: SSU rRNA
Rfam family: Bacterial small subunit ribosomal RNA
Source: RNAcentral
AGGAUGAACGCUGGCGGCGUGCCUAAGACAUGCAAGUCGAGUGGGUUUAGACCCACGGCGAACGGGUGAGUAAUACCUAGGAACUUUCUUUAAGUGGAGCAUAACCAGUCGAAAGAUUGGAUAAUACUCCAUGUGAUCGUAAGAUCAAAGUCGCAAGACGCUUAAAGUGAGGCCUGGGCACCAUCAGCUAGUUGGUAAGGUAACGGCUUACCAAGGCUAUGACGGUUAGGGGCCCCGAGAGGGGAGACCCCCACACUGGAACUGCGACACGGUCCAGACUCCUACGGGAGGCAGCAGUUUGGAAUUUUGGACAAUGGGCGAAAGCCUGAUCCAGCGACGCCGCGUGGACGAUGAAGGCCUUCGGGUCGUAAAGUCCUUUGCUCGGGAACAAUAUUUUGAGCGUACCGAGAGAAUAAGAGGUUGCUAACUCUGUGCCAGCAGCCGC